RNAcentral lists this long non-coding RNA (238 nucleotides) under Monodelphis domestica (gray short-tailed opossum). Its description in RNAcentral is "lncRNA (ENSMODG00000032569.2)". The record is from RNAcentral. Lineage: Eukaryota; Metazoa; Chordata; Mammalia; Didelphimorphia; Didelphidae.
UUCAUUAAAACAAAUACAGAAACAUAACAACUUUCUUUUACCUCUAGGCUUGUGUUCAUCCAGGAGAUGAUCAAGUGUUAGGAAGACAAGCCUGAAAGAAGACUGUGCUGAAAAAAAAGUCACCCUCAUCCCUAGAGGCAGAGACUGGCAGAGUUGAUGCUCUAAGUUCUGAUGACUUCUGUCUUCUUCCUCCCUGCUCCCUGGUCUAUUUAGGCCUCCAAAGCAAGUUAACCAAGUU